GGGCGAGUAGCUCAGUUGGCUAGAGCAUCCGCCUUACAAGCGGAGGGUCCGGGGUUCGAGUCCCCGCUUGCCCA
This 74-nucleotide transfer RNA is filed under the name Phycisphaera sp. RNAcentral's name for it is "tRNA-Val". It matches the Rfam family "tRNA". Rfam says of the family: Transfer RNA (tRNA) molecules are approximately 80 nucleotides in length. Lineage: Bacteria; Pseudomonadati; Planctomycetota; Phycisphaerae; Phycisphaerales; Phycisphaeraceae. The record is from RNAcentral. RNAcentral also lists the same sequence under 3 other names.